RNAcentral lists this ribosomal RNA (463 nucleotides) under uncultured bacterium. RNAcentral's name for it is "partial 16S ribosomal RNA". It matches the Rfam family "Bacterial small subunit ribosomal RNA", at positions 28 to 507 of the family's 1533-position model. The record is from RNAcentral.
GAUGAACGCUGACAGAAUGCUUAACACAUGCAAGUCUUUGGCGAAUCUGUGCUUGCACAGGCUAGCCAAGGCGGACGGGUGAGUAACGCGUAAAGAACUUGCCCUGCAGACAGGGAUAACAGACGGAAACGACUGAUAACACCUGAUACAGUUGCCGGCACGCAUGUGCCUGGCAAUGAAAAGAGAUGCUGCAGGAGAGCUUUGCGUCCUAUUAGCUUGUUGGUGAGGUGACGGCUCACCAAGGCGAUGAUAGGUAGCCGGCCUGAGAGGGUGAACGGCCACAAGGGGACUGAGAUACGGCCGUUACUCAUACGGGAGGCAGCAGUGGGGAAUAUUGGACAAUGGGGGCAACCCUGAUCCAGAAAUUCUGUGUGAACGAAGAAGGUUGUCGGAUUGUAAAGUGCUUUCAGCAGAGAAGAAGAAAGUGACGGUACCUGCAGAAGAAGCGACGGCUAAAUACGUG